Molecule: ribosomal RNA, 1494 nt
Filed under: uncultured prokaryote
Description: partial 16S ribosomal RNA
Rfam family: Bacterial small subunit ribosomal RNA
Source: RNAcentral
AUUAGAGUUUGAUCCUGGCUCAGGAUGAACGCUAGCGGCAGGCCUAAUACAUGCAAGUCGAACGGUAAGGUCCCGCUUGCGGGAUACACGAGUGGCGCACGGGUGAGUAACGCGUAUGCAACCUACCUACCUUUAACAGGAGGAUAGCCCCGAGAAAUCGGGAUUAAUACUUCAUAACAAUAUGAGACGACAUCGUUUUAUAUUUAAAGCUCCGGCGGUUAAAGAUGGGCAUGCGUGACAUUAGAUAGUUGGUGAGGUAACGGCUCACCAAGUCUGCGAUGUCUAGGGGUUCUGAGAGGAUUAUCCCCCACACUGGUACUGAGACACGGACCAGACUCCUACGGGAGGCAGCAGUAAGGAAUAUUGGGCAAUGGACGAAAGUCUGACCCAGCCAUGCCGCGUGCAGGAUGACAGCCCUAUGGGUCGUAAACUGCUUUUAUAAGAGAAGAAACCCCUCUACGUGUAGAGGGCUGACGGUAUCUUACGAAUAAGGACCGGCUAACUCCGUGCCAGCAGCCGCGGUAAUACGGAGGGUCCAAGCGUUAUCCGGAUUUAUUGGGUUUAAAGGGUGCGCAGGCGGCUUAUUAAGUCAGUGGUGAAAUCUCUCGGCUCAACCGAGAAACUGCCAUUGAAACUGAUAAGCUUGAGUGUAGUUGUAGUAGGCGGAAUAUAGCAUGUAGCGGUGAAAUGCUUAGAUAUGCUAUAGAACACCGAUCGCGAAGGCAGCUCACUAAACUAUAACUGACGCUCAGGCACGAAAGCGUGGGGAGCAAACAGGAUUAGAUACCCUGGUAGUCCACGCCGUAAACGAUGAUAACUCGAUGUUGGCAAUACACCGUCAGCGUCCAAGCGAAAGCGUUAAGUUAUCCACCUGGGGAGUACGAUCGCAAGAUUGAAACUCAAAGGAAUUGACGGGGGCCCGCACAAGCGGUGGAGCAUGUGGUUUAAUUCGAUGAUACGCGAGGAACCUUACCUGGGCUUAAAUGUAGAUUGACAGAUUGGGAAACCAGUCCUUCUUCGGACAAUUUACAAGGUGCUGCAUGGUUGUCGUCAGCUCGUGCUGUGAGGUGUCGGGUUAAGUCCCAUAACGAGCGCAACCCCUAUCCUUAGUUGCCAGCGAGUAAUGUCGGGGACUCUAAGAAAACUGCCGGCGUAAGCCGCGAGGAAGGUGGGGACGACGUCAAGUCAUCACGGCCCUUACGUCCUGGGCCACACACGUGCUACAAUGGCGAGUACAGAGGGCAGCUACCAAGUGAUUGGAUGCAAAUCUCAAAAACUCGUCUCAGUUCGGAUUGAAGUCUGCAACUCGACUUCAUGAAGCUGGAAUCGCUAGUAAUCGCGUAUCAGCCAUGACGCGGUGAAUACGUUCCCGGGCCUUGUACACACCGCCCGUCAAGCCAUGGCAGCUGGGGGUACCUAAAGUCGGUAACCGAAAGUAACUGCCUAGGGUAAAACUGGUAACUGGUGUUAAGUCGUACAAGGUAGCCGUAAAUC